UACAAUAGAAUCGGCUCCUCAAGGGUGGUCGGCUCAUCUCCCACGUCGGAAACGGGGGGAGGUGAGAGUAUGGCAAUAACGCACGAAACAAUGAGCCUGAUGAUUCAGUUUGGCGGCUUCAUCGUCGGCCUGCUGAGUCUCGUCGUGGCGAUUGUCGUUGCUUUGACCCAAAAAAGAAGUAGACCUCCCUUGAGCUUGGUAGGCCAGGAGGUCUACUAUUCGGAAAACGAGCCGACGCCUUGAGGCGGGCUAUUGUACAAGGCUGCAGAUGUUACCGCAUCUGUAG
Molecule: small RNA, 286 nt
Filed under: Brevibacillus aydinogluensis
Lineage: Bacteria; Bacillati; Bacillota; Bacilli; Caryophanales; Paenibacillaceae
Description: BsrG
Rfam family: BsrG
About the family: bsrE, bsrG and bsrH pair through intermolecular interactions with antisense sRNAs. SR4 interaction with the 3'UTR of bsrG RNA promotes bsrG degradation and inhibits its translation.
Source: RNAcentral